GGGGGGCUUCAGUAAAGCCCUGACAGCGCCUGACUUCACACACAUCCGCGGUCCUGAAGCCAAACCAACGGCUGUGUCUGAGCAGCACUGCCCACACCAUACCGUGAUGUAAGAAAUAUGUGGAAGGACAGGAAGAACAGGAAGGAGAGAUGGCCGGACUGACGCACGGUUGGAUGGCUGGACUAAUGGAUCGAUAAUUUAAAAGGACAGAAAGACGGACAGAAGGACACGCGGAUGGACAGAAAAACGAAGGAAUGGAGAGGUGGACAGGGACACAAAUGGACAGAUGUAUGGACAAACAGAUGGAUACAGAGAAUACAACUUUUAGAGAAUGGGAUAAAACUAAUACUUGAUUUCCUUUCCCAUACUUGUCUGGAAAGUACUUAAAAUACAUUAUUUUCAUGUGUAGGAACCCCGUCUUAUGAUCGCUCUGUUGUCUUUUACUUUACAUUUCAUCUUAUUUUAAAUAAUAGUAAAUUGCAUGUCUUUGUAUCCCACUUUAUCAAGUCAUAUGACCUUGAAGCUCUUCACACUGCAUUCAACUGCUCACACAUUCACACCCUGAUGGUGGUGAGCUACAUUAAAGCCACAGCUGCCCUGGGGCAGACUGACAGAAGAGCAGCUGCCAUACAAUGGGCACCAGCAGGCCCUCUGACCACCGGGUCGCUGGUUCCAACCAGCAAACCGAUGGUUACAGGACAAACUCCUAGCCCUCUCCAAUUGUUUCUACUUUAUUUAAAAUCUGGGCCAAGGAAUCAUGGCCAAAUGUUCCUUUUCCAAAUUGUGUAAACUCUGUAGCAUCCGAUACAAACUACUGAAUUUUAGGGCCAGAUUUUCACCUACAGUUUAAAGUUGUCAGUAAAAUGUCAGGUAAAAAGUAUUUUUUAUUUAAUUAACCAUGUUUUUUUUUUUUCAUUUUGUCAUUUUGUUUCCACGGAAGAUAAGCAUCAAACAAGCCCAGCAAUUUUAUUUUUCCCACAAAAAAAAA
This is a long non-coding RNA of Fundulus heteroclitus (mummichog), 988 nucleotides long. RefSeq lists it as uncharacterized. Lineage: Eukaryota; Metazoa; Chordata; Actinopteri; Cyprinodontiformes; Fundulidae. The transcript has 2 exons. The record is from RefSeq and is a predicted model, not a curated record.